Molecule: RNA transcript, 3653 nt
Organism: Sapajus apella (tufted capuchin)
Lineage: Eukaryota; Metazoa; Chordata; Mammalia; Primates; Cebidae
Gene: OMA1
Gene name: OMA1 zinc metallopeptidase
Exons: 11
Source: RefSeq, a predicted model, not a curated record
GGCAGGAAGUGCGGGUGCGCGCCUGCGCAUAGGUCGGGUCGGCGGUGUCCCCGCUUUCGCUUCUGCUAGAGUCAGUCCUCACGGUGACGCCUUUCCCCAGCUUUUCCGAGUAAUCAAGUAAAAAGUAUGAGCUUCAUCAGUGGAUUGCAGUCUGCUGUUAGAAACCAUGUUUUCUUCCGGUUUAAUUCACGGGCUAACUGGAGAAAAUGUAACACGUCAGCAUCAACCUCACAGGGCUGUCACCAAGUACAAGUUAACCAUAUAGUAAAUAAGUCUGAGGGACUGGGAGUAAAUCAGUGUGAUAGGUGGACUUUUCUGCCUGGAAACUUUCAUUUUUAUAGGACUUUUAACAACAAAAAAACAGGAUACCUCUCAAGUACCAAAAGUAAGGAAAUUUGGAUGAAUGCCAGCAAAUAUACUGUAUGGAAGGACUCUUUUUCAAGACAGCUAUUAAUAAAAAAAGUUACAGCGGUUCCUAGUCUGUUAGUAUUGCAUCCUCGAAGCCCUUCUCCUAUAAGAGCUGUUAGGAAUUUCCACACCUCUCCACGGUUUCAAGCUGCUCCAGUUCCUCUCUUGUUGAUGAUUCUUAAACCAGUGCAGAAGUUACUUGCAAUCAUUGUAGGCAGGGGCAUAAGGAAAUGGUGGCAGGCACUUCCCCCUAACAAGAAGGAACUAUUUAAAGAAAGUAUAAGGAAGAAUAAAUGGAAGCUAGUCCUUGGUUUGAGUAGUUUUGGAUUGCUCUUUGUGGUGUUUUAUUUUACUCACCUGGAAGUAAGUCCAAUCACAGGAAGAAGCAAGCUGCUAUUAUUGGGGAAAGAGCAGUUCAGACUUUUAUCAGAACUGGAAUAUGAAGCAUGGAUGGAAGAAUUUAAAAAUCAUAUGCUGACUGAGAAAGAUGCCCGAUACCUGGCUGUUAAAGAAGUGCUUUGUCAUCUAAUUGAAUCCAAUAAAGAUGUUCCAGGGAUCUCUCAGAUCAAUUGGACUGUUCAUGUGGUUGAUUCCCCAGUUAUUAAUGCCUUUGUGCUUCCAAAUGGACAAAUGUUUGUUUUCACUGGAUUUUUAAAUAGUGUAACGGAUAUUCAUCAACUUUCUUUCCUUCUGGGCCAUGAAAUAGCACAUGCAGUACUUGGACAUGCUGCAGAAAAGGCUGGCAUGGUUCAUUUAUUGGAUUUCCUAGGUAUGAUUUUCCUCACAAUGAUUUGGGCCAUUUGUCCUCGGGAUAGUUUGGCCCUUUUGGGCCAGUGGAUACAGUCUAAAUUGCAAGAGUAUGUGUUUAAUAGACCAUACAGCAGAAAAUUGGAGGCUGAAGCUGACAAAAUUGGACUGUUGCUUGCUGCAAAGGCUUGUGUGGACAUAAGAGCCAGUUCAGUGUUUUGGCAGCAAAUGGAGUUUGUUGAUAGCCUGCAUGGGCAACCCAAGAUGCCAGAAUGGUUAUCUACACACCCUUCUCAUGGCAAUCGAGUUGAGCACUUGGAUAGACUUAUACCUCAGUCUUUCUCAGAUGUUCCCUGGUGAUGUCAAGAUGGCUGCCAGCACUUCCAGGAUUGCAUGCUUUCACAUCCAGCUGGAUGAGUGACUGACUCACACCCCAACUAUUGAAACAAAGCCUUUAACACUAACUGCACCCUGAAGCAAUCGCCAUGGCAGGGGAUGGCAUUAUUUUGAUUGGCUUGGACCUAUCUGGAUCCAACACGAGUUGAGGAUGGGCACGACUCAACACCACCCAAACAGAAUGGCUACUGCGCAGUGGGAGAGAUGCAACCACAGGGCUUAUGAAAUAGAGGAUGCAUGAAUGAAAGAAGUUCCACCAGGAAGAAUGUGUCUGCUUCCUUUCUGCUCAUAUACCAUGUAACGGCCAUGGAGGGGCAUCACUCAGAUAACUCUUCAACAGAGCCCUCUGUGGCGUGCAUAAGUGACAAAUGCUCCAGCUGCUACACCUUCAGGUCCACAGUAACUGGGCAAAGAGUUGGGCAUUAUCCUCACAACUUGGAGAGUUCGGCAUUUUCACUGCUUUUCACAGAUAAGGAAACUAAGGGUCAGCAAAUUUGUAUCUGCAUCAUACAAGGCAAGCUGCGGAUCUGCUGUGAGGCCACUCACUCAGGUAUUCAUGUAUUCAUUCACUCAACACCACCUGCAUUCCAGGCACUACUGCGCCGGGUACUAGGAUACAGUGAUGAAUGGCUCAGACUGAGACCCACCCUAAGGAGCCCCCCAACUAGUGAGGGCUCAGAUGCACAAGCACGGCUACCCUUGCAGUCGCAGACCGGUUCUGGGACAGGUCCUGGUCAACGGGGCUGUGGUGGCACAAGGAAGAAAAACAUCACCAGUGCUGAAUGUCAAGGCUUCCUGGAAGAAUGACCUCCAGAUGAGACCCAGGUGAGGGUAGGUGGAGGGAAGACAGGAGGGUGUUGGCAGGGGAUGAGUAUUAUCUCUUUCAUGAAAGAGCAUCCUCUCUGAGGCCUGAAGAUGAAAGAGCAGAGUGUCAGAGCUUCCCGUGACAGCCAAUAGUGCAUUCUCUUAGAGUAUCCCAUUCAUCUGCCUUCCAGGCUCCAAGUCCUUGGCUUCAGGAACCUCCCCUGGGCCCCCACAUUACUUCCACACAGACCUACCCACCCCAUCUGUGUUAGUCCAGGUCCUCUGAGAAAGCAGAAACCAAGACAGGAUUAAACUUGCAAGAAAUCUGUUAGAGGAAAUGCCUGUGGGAAAAAAUGAAGAGGCCAGGGGAGGCUGGAAAAGCCACAAGUCCACAAUACAGGCCUGACUCCCAGUGAAGGGGCAAAAGAGGGAGAGAGGGAUGCAGGAAGCGUUUUUAGUCAAUCCUAAGGAAACUUUGGCAAGGCUGGGAGUACUGGAGCCACAGUUGCCCAAGAGAGGAGUCCCAAGCCUCCAGGAAGGGCCCUUCCUCAGCAUCCCUGUCCUGCUCCUCCAUUGGCUAGGGGUGGCCAGGGGCAGUCAGGAUGCAGUUUGUGCUGGAUUUCGGAAAGCAGUUGUGCGGACCACUGGGCAGUCAUGCUCCCUGAAGCUCGGUAUCUGUGAGGAAUAUUCUCCAUGGCCAACAUACUGCCCUAGGUUUUUAUAUACCCCCAAAUCUGGCUUCGGCUUCAGCCCUCUUCCUGGGUUCUGCCAAGAUAAACAGUCCUGAGCAAAGGUGGUGUUGGGCAGUGAUGAAGGGCACAGCUUCACAGCAGCCCCCAUUUCUGCCACUGACCAUGGGUGCUGCAGGUAAGGCAUUGAUCCCCCCAGUUUCCUUGUGGGAAAUUGUGGAUAAUAACAGUUCCUGUCUCCUAAGGUUGUUACAGAAGUACUCGAAUUAAAAUGCAUGGUAAGUGCCCAAUAAAUGAUGUCUAUUAUUAUAUUAAUGGAUCCAUUUUUGAUUUAGGGGCCAUUUCAAUGCAAUGGUUUGAUGGGGCUACAUCAAAAUGUAAAAGCCCUGCGCUCCCACCACUGCUGUGUGCCAAAUAUACCUGCAUCUCACUCUGUCCUGAAUGCUUCACCAUCUUUCCAUGAAGCUGCCCCUGACCCUGAGGUUUGGCUUUGGGCCUUCCUCUGAACCUGUAGCCUCCUUUUCCCAUGGAACUUUUUACAAUGAUUAGUUGCAUGUUUUGUUGUUGUUUUCAUUUCUUGAAAUAAACUGAGAAUUCCUGUGGGGGUGA